GCGGCGGAAAUGGGCCUGGAUCGUCCGCGCCGCGCGGUCACUCGCCGCGGAGGGCGGCCCCGCGCGCGCCGAUCGUCGUGGCCGCGGCCGCGGCCGCGGAGGUGGAGGCGAGGGCGGCGACUCCGGUUCCGAUCCGUCUUCCUCCACCUCUUGCUCCUCCUCAUGGUAGCGGGCCGCGCGGCGCGGGCGAUGGUUUGGGUGGGGCGGUCGGCGAGCCGGAGGAGGGGCCGGGAAGCAGUGGGGAAGCGCGGACUCGAUCGCUGCCACCCGACGCAGGAGCGAGUGGAGCAGGAGGUGGCCGUUGUCGCCGGAUGGAUUGGGCCUCAGCUGUGGCAGCGGUGGAUGGAUGUAGGUAUGGUGCUUGGGCUCCUGCUGCUGGUAUUGGUACUGGUACUGCUGAGGGUAAGGAUACGGAUAGGGAUGGGGAUUCGUGGCGUGUUGUGCGGCGGGGGGCGGCGGCGGCUGGGGCUGGGGCUGGGGCUGGGGUUGCGACUGCGGCUGAGCGGGGACCGGGGAGCUGAGGAGGAGGUGGGCGGCGAUAGCGUGGAGGAGUUGGUCGGACGCGGUGGAGCUGGGCGGGGCCGGCGCUGGCGCCGGGUAGUAGCACGGCGCCGCGCCCGCGCCCGCGCAGCAGCAGGAGCAGCAUGCGGGCGGGGGCGGGUGGUGGUAGUCGUGACGGGGCAUUGGCGCGUGCUCCGGCGGGGGUUUCUCGGCGGACCGGUACCGGAUCGGCGGCGGCGGAGGAGCGGGUGCCAGUGACUCACACUCACACUCACUGACUCACAUCGGUAGUGGGGG
Molecule: unclassified non-coding RNA, 798 nt
Filed under: Zea mays
Lineage: Eukaryota; Viridiplantae; Streptophyta; Magnoliopsida; Poales; Poaceae
Description: misc RNA Zm00001eb353000
Source: RNAcentral